UGCCUCCCCAAAGCCCAUUGUCCAAUCAAAAUGGAAUACCAUACUCCUUACACUUCCAAGAAAUAUUACCCCAACACUCAACCAUCCCUUUCACACACUCAUUUCUCCUCUUCCUAACACACACUCUUCCAUCUUUUCUCUCCCCAAAUGAUUGUUUAGCCAAUGGUGGAUUCCUUUUUCUCUUCCAUUUACGGCUCCAACAAAAAGGCAUGAAACAAGAAUAAAAAUCAUAUUUAAAACAUAACAACAAUAAGGGUUUAUAUAGGAUUGAACAAGGGUUGAUUCAAGAUAGGUUUAAAAGUUAUUUCAAGCAAGGAUUAAGGGUUAUUAGGAGCUCUUAAGCCACGAAAUUUUCUUCCAUUUUCUCAUCACGAAACCAAGUUCAUCAAGGGUCUAGAGCAGUAAGUUAGCGUUAUGGACCGCCUCAUGGAUUGUAUUUGCUCGUUGCUUGAUAGUCUUGUACUGCAAACAAUUUGAUCUUUUGAUUAUGACUUUGGUUAUGUAAUGUUUAUUAAAUGUCAACUUGAACUUGCUAUCUUUUGAAUUUAAGUGACAUUUGAAACUUUAUGUUGAUGUUUUAUCUUAAAA
This is a long non-coding RNA of Erigeron canadensis, 588 nucleotides long. RefSeq lists it as uncharacterized. The transcript is spliced from 2 exons. Lineage: Eukaryota; Viridiplantae; Streptophyta; Magnoliopsida; Asterales; Asteraceae. The record is from RefSeq and is a predicted model, not a curated record.